Molecule: ribosomal RNA, 133 nt
Filed under: uncultured bacterium
Lineage: Bacteria
Description: partial 16S ribosomal RNA
Source: RNAcentral
GUACCGUCAAGUCCCACGGGUAUUAUCCGUAGGAUUUUCUUCCCAAUCUGACAGAGCUUUACAACCCAUAGGGCCUUCUUCACUCACGCGGCAUCGCUCGGUCAGGCUUUCGCCCAUUGCCGAAGCUUCUCGA